AGUGAACGCUGGCGGUAGGCCUAACACAUGCAAGUCGAACGGCAGCACAGUAAGAGCUUGCUCUUACGGGUGGCGAGUGGCGGACGGGUGAGGAAUACAUCGGAAUCUACUUUUUCGUGGGGGAUAACGUAGGGAAACUUACGCUAAUACCGCAUACGACCUACGGGUGAAAGCAGGGGAUCUUCGGACCUUGCGCGAUUGAAUGAGCCGAUGUCGGAUUAGCUAGUUGGCGGGGUAAAGGCCCACCAAGGCGACGAUCCGUAGCUGGUCUGAGAGGAUGAUCAGCCACACUGGAACUGAGACACGGUCCAGACGCCUACGGGAGGCAGCAGUGGGGAAUAUUGGACAAUGGGCGCAAGCCUGAUCCAGCCAUACCGCGUGGGUGAAGAAGGCCUUCGGGUUGUAAAGCCCUUUUGUUGGGAAAGAAAAGCAGCAGGUUAAUACCCCGCUGUUCGGACGGUACCCAAAGAAUAAGCACCGGCUAACUUCGU
This 491-nucleotide ribosomal RNA is filed under the name uncultured bacterium. Its description in RNAcentral is "partial 16S ribosomal RNA". It matches the Rfam family "Bacterial small subunit ribosomal RNA", at positions 29 to 506 of the family's 1533-position model. The record is from RNAcentral.